RNAcentral lists this ribosomal RNA (332 nucleotides) under uncultured Anoxybacillus sp. RNAcentral's name for it is "bacterial SSU rRNA". It matches the Rfam family "Bacterial small subunit ribosomal RNA", at positions 1044 to 1382 of the family's 1533-position model. The record is from RNAcentral. Lineage: Bacteria; Bacillati; Bacillota; Bacilli; Caryophanales; Anoxybacillaceae.
CAUGGUUGUCGUCAGCUCGUGUCGUGAGAUGUUGGGUUAAGUCCCGCAACGAGCGCAACCCUCGACCUUAGUUGCCAGCAUUCAUUGGGCACUCUAAGGUGACUGCCGGCUAAAAGUCGAGGAAGUGGGGAUGACGUCAAAUCAUCAUGCCCUUAUGACCUGGGCUACACACGUGCUACAAUGGGCGGUACAAAGGGUCGCGAACCCGCAGGGGGAGCCAAUCCCAAAAAGCCGCUCUCAGUUCGGAUUGCAGGCUGCAACUCGCCUGCAUGAAGCCGGAAUCGCUAGUAAUCGCGGAUCAGCACGCCGCGGUGAAUACGUUCCCGGGCCUU